This 451-nucleotide long non-coding RNA is filed under the name Homo sapiens (human). RNAcentral describes it as "CAMTA1 antisense RNA 2, transcript variant 3 (CAMTA1-AS2)". Lineage: Eukaryota; Metazoa; Chordata; Mammalia; Primates; Hominidae. The record is from RNAcentral.
CUCCACCCUUUCCUGUCCAGACCACUGUGAAGGCCUUUAGUCACCUCCUAGAGAAGCAAGAUUUUCAGCCCUGGCUUUCUACCCCCACACCCUACAGCCGGCCAGGGGACAGGGUCGUGUUCACACAGUGCUAAGGGAACACGCUGACGUGUGUGACAUCAAGAACUCCAGUGCCCACACAGCCCGAGUCCGGAUGGCAGGCACAUCGGAAGGCUCACGGUCAGAGGAUGCUGGGACAAACGCCACGAGAGGUUCCUUUUUGUCUGGCUCACCCAGAAGAGAGGCUCCUCUCCUCCCUUCCCUGCAGCACAACGGCCUGGCUGGCACCCAAAGGGCAGCCGGCAUGGGCUGACCUCAGAGGAGCAAGGCGUGUUUGCAGCUCUGCCGCUCACAUCCACAGUGGCCAUGACAACAGGUGCAGCACCAUCCAUUAAAGCCCUGUGUCAUUUCA